Molecule: microRNA, 23 nt
Filed under: Oreochromis niloticus (Nile tilapia)
Lineage: Eukaryota; Metazoa; Chordata; Actinopteri; Cichliformes; Cichlidae
Description: oni-miR-10739
Source: miRBase by way of RNAcentral
UUAGAUCAAUAAGUAUGGAAUGU